GCAAGGUGAACGCAGACUUGGCCUUCUGUGCUUCAGAGCCCAGGUGCUGGGGAGAAAAUGCUGGGGCUCUGGAAGAAGGUGAGUAGGUGCAAAGGCCAAAGUGUCCAGACGCGCCGCAAGAUUCCACACCCUUAGGCUGAACCCAAGUUGUCUGAACAGUAACGACGUCCUACAGUACUACAACUUGCGUACAGAGCGCGGAGUACACCGAGACCCUGGAGCCAGCCGAGGGUCAGGGUGAAUUCGACUCCGCCACGCUCGCUUCCAGCGGAGCCGGACUCCCAGCCUCGCCAAGCACCUCCCCUAAAUGGCCUGAUUUUUUCUGUGCAAGAGUAAUCACCGCCCACCGGUUCCCUUCUCCGACCCCCUGCGGCGCCUUUCUUCCUGUUUCCACUACUCAGUGGGGCGGGACGUCAGCGGUUAGGAUCUGACCUCUGUUUCCUCGGACUUUUCAAGCACGCGAGUGGGAAAGCAAGGAAAAGGCGGUUCACUU
Long non-coding RNA from Mustela lutreola (European mink), 493 nucleotides. RefSeq lists it as uncharacterized. The record is from RefSeq and is a predicted model, not a curated record. The transcript is spliced from 3 exons. Lineage: Eukaryota; Metazoa; Chordata; Mammalia; Carnivora; Mustelidae.